AACAAACAAACAAAACAAGUGUUGUAUUUUCUUUUCAAUCUGGAAACGUGAGAUCAAAAACAGCAAGAACUAGAUCUGGAAGUAGAAGAGUUGUUUCUAAGAACUGGUCAAGAAGGAGAAGGGACUAAGGCUAGAAGGCAGAUGGAUGCAUAAAUGCUGUAUGUGUGAAAAGAGAAGAAAAGGAGGAGUAUGCAGCUCGGACUGCCAACAAACAGAGUCUCAUGGAGCCAAAGCUGACAUCAAGGUUGCCACAUAGAUGACAUGACACUGAAUUCGGGAUUCUCCCAAGUUCUGGGAAUAAGGAAAUUAUUUUUGAAGGAUAGUUGAAAUGAACACAAAGUAGAAGAAAAAAUUUAGAAGGAAACCACAAGUGAGUAACAGUGAUGAUGACAAGGGAAUGAACAAAGAGUUAGGAACUAAGAAGGCCUUGGCUUGCAGACUUUUACAAGAGCCUGGUACAAGAAGACUGGUGUGUGAAGAGCAGUGCUGGUCUUCCUUAGGGACCAGACAGGAGGCGAGAGGCUUAAGUUGCUGUGUGGGAUUUAGAUAACAGAAAAGGAAAAAUUUUCAGACAGUGAGGUUUGAUAGACACUGGGAUGUGUAACUGGGGAAGCUUGUGGAAUUUCCUUCUCUCAACAUCUUUUUAAAAACCGACAGCAUCUCAUCUGCUUAAAGGAUGGACUCUAUUUGACCUCUAAAGUGUCUACUGAACCCAGAGGGUGAACCUCAUCUCCCAAAGGAAAAGAGAGCUUGUGUGAUCCCGAGGAGCUUGAAUGAUGAAAAUAUCAUGAACAUUUUUCAUGCUUAAUUUGAUUUCCACAUGGUAUAUACAUAAAUCAUAACUGCUAUAGCGAGUCUUUUGGUCUAAUGUUUUUGUUGUAAGGUCUGGAGAUUAGAGUUUAAGUAAAAGUCUUCUAGGGAGAGAAGGCAGAACUCUUUUAUCUGACUUUUUGAGCUUAUUUGUAGGAGAGCAUAAUAAGCAAGGUGAAAAGGUUAUUUCUGACUUUGAUUUCACUUCCCAUGCUAAAUUUAAAAAUUACCAUCUUUUUUGUUGGCUUUGGUAUUUUAAAGGCAAAUUGAGAGAUUAAUUUAGUGCAAGCGUUUCUCACAGUAUUUUUGGCCAGACCAGAAUUCCAAGUUGGACCAGGUUCUCUGUACUUAAUUUCCUCUCAGGAAGUUUACCUCCAAAAGUCCUAAUGUAAGGUCAAACUUUGGGCUGCCGGAAGUGUUAAUGUCCUUUACUGUCUAGGCAUCCAGGCGACCUUCAAUGAGAUAUUCUACUUUGUGGACACUGGUAAGGGUUCAAAUGCUUUCAAAUGACUUAGCUGCUUCCUUUGUUUGUUUGUUUUCUUUAAUGAGCUGUGAUCUCUGUACUCAGCCAUCCAAAACUCAGAAAUUAAAAUUUCCAUAAGUAAGAGGUGUUCUAUUUUCUCUGGAUUCAGUUAUGAGUUUAGAUAUCUAAUUACAGGUGAUGUAGACUUGUCUUUCUUCCGAAGUACCAAAGUGCACUUCGUGACAAAAAGGACGUUAGUGUCAGAAAUUAUUGUCUACUUUAAGCAAACAGUUCUAGAGUACCCUAAACAGGAUCUCUCUCAGAUUCUAAGUAACCGGAGGACAUUUAAAGGUUAAAGCACAUUGUCACAUAACUGUUCACAACAGUCUAAGUGCUUAUGAUUCCAAUAAAAAUAUUGUAAAUGUUAUGGACUUGUAGAUGAGAAAUGGAAUUUUUUAAGAGGUUGUGAUUUACUUAAGGUCUCAAGACUAGAAACUGUAAAAUACCUGGGACACGUAGGCCCUUCUCACCUAUCUAUGUUCUAUUCCUUUUUGAUAUGACUUUGCUUAAAAUUUAAUUGCAGCUAGCUUCAAAUGGUAUAGUGUAAUUCAUUAGAAGAACUCUUGGAAUACUUUUGAUUUCAGAGCCUGGAUCUUUCCCUCUGUAUAAUGCUGUGAUCUUUGUAAGAUCUGUUAUGUUUUUCAUCAUUGAUGAGAUCUUUGCCUUAGAUGUCAAAGUCAAAUUAGAUACAAGGGACUGAAGUCACUAUCACUAAAUAGAAAGUUAUGCUGAAUGUUGCUCAGUCACACAAAGUAAAAACACCAGAAGGUUCCACCAGCGUAUUCUGAUAUUUCACAUGGUAAGUCAUACACAUCUCUCAUAGUGUACUCCCAGUGAGAUGAUGGGACAUUCUAAUCCUUUCUAGCUACUAAGGAUUAAACAGCAUUAAACAGUACAAAACACAUCUUAAUAUUGCAUUCAUUUCUGACAAAAUGUUGAAUGCAUCUUCUAUAAUUCCUGGCACAUGGUUGUGGGAGUCAUGGUUGUGGGGGUACGGUGGCUUUAUUUCCUUCCCUAACAGUUCGGAAGUUUGUUUAAUACUGACUCAGAGGAAGCGUUCUAGCUGAGUCCUCACAUGGCCCUGUUUACAGCUCCGGAGUGUACAUAAUAGAUAAAGAACUGACUUCCACAUACCCUUGCACUUCCUGGGUGUGUGGGCGAGUGUGCUUGAGCCUGUGAAAUGAGGUUGUGCAAUCUCCUGCUUGGGGCAUCAGGUUGCAGUCACCCCACAUCUCUUAAAUAUUCCUCUGAGGGAGCUUGUUUCACAAACUGAACACCAGUGUAUUUAAGAGAAGCUCUAGUAAUGAAUAAUUAACAUGGUCAAAACUGAGGUGGAGAUUGUAAAAAAAACAGUGGGAAACAGCUGUAAAUGACACAGAUAAACACUUUUCUUUCGGCAGGAUCUCACUGUUUUGAUUGUAACUGUAGCUGACAUUUAUACAUAGCCAGUCUGGGGUAAGAACUUUUGUUACACCAGCAUCACUGUCCUUAACUCUUGUAGCCUUUAUGGGUAAAUAUAGCCAUUGCACGUUUAGACUGGAGAUCAGAGAAUUAAAAAAAAAUGUGUUCUGAAUUACACUGAUAGUCUGAAAGUAGCUGAUGGAGUAACGAGAAGAACCAAGAACUGUUUGUCUUUUAAAGAUAAAUGAGACCCUUCCUACCUAUCUGUGUUUUAUUUCUCUUUUGAUAUGACUUUGCUCAAAACUUAAGUGCAGUUGGUUUCAAGAGGAACAGUGUAUUUCAAUUAGAAGGACUCCCUGGAUUUAUGAAGGUUCAGACUAAGGUAUUUGGAGGAUGGUGGGCUGAAAGUUUCAGGGAAGAAAUACUACACAUACACCAGUCUCUCAGGCCUGAAGAAAGGAAAUGUAUACCUGUUUGUCUAUGAAAUAUCUCUUGAACAUGGUACUGGAGUGAUAACAUCCAUCCCACACAAAUAUCCAGUAGUAAACAUUCAGAAACAGAUUCUCUUUUUAACCAAUGCUUUGCAUCAAAGUUAGGCAUGUUCAUUAAAUUAAAGAAUUGUUUAUAAAGCUUACUUUUAAAGGCAUAUCACCCUUCUCCUUUGUUUCCUGAAUUAUGAGGCUUGCUGAAUCAUCUGCAGAA
RNAcentral lists this long non-coding RNA (3436 nucleotides) under Cricetulus griseus (Chinese hamster). RNAcentral describes it as "lncRNA (ENSCGRG00015029096.1)". The record is from RNAcentral. Lineage: Eukaryota; Metazoa; Chordata; Mammalia; Rodentia; Cricetidae.